GCAGCCUGCAACUCGGCUGCAUGAAGCCGGAAUCGCUAGUAAUCGCGGAUCAGAAUGCCGCGGUGAAUACGUUCCCGGGUCUUGUACACACCGCCCGUCACACCAUGGGAGUCGGAAAUGCCCGAAGUCGGUGACCUAACGAAAGAAGGAGCCGCCGAAGGCAGGUCCGGUAACUGGGGUGAAGUCGUAACAAGGUAAC
RNAcentral lists this ribosomal RNA (199 nucleotides) under uncultured bacterium. RNAcentral describes it as "partial 16S ribosomal RNA". It matches the Rfam family "Bacterial small subunit ribosomal RNA", at positions 1300 to 1500 of the family's 1533-position model. The record is from RNAcentral.